RNAcentral lists this ribosomal RNA (446 nucleotides) under uncultured bacterium. Its description in RNAcentral is "partial 16S ribosomal RNA". It matches the Rfam family "Bacterial small subunit ribosomal RNA", at positions 338 to 795 of the family's 1533-position model. The record is from RNAcentral.
CCUACGUGCGGCAGCAGUAGGGAAUUUUCGGCAAUGGGGGGAACCCUGACCGAGCAACGCAGCGUGAACGAAGAAGUUAUUCGUAAUGUAAAGUUCUUUUAACAAUGAAUCAAGAGAAAUUUUACGUUACCUGAAGAAUAAGCUCCGGCUAACUGCGUGCCAGCACCCGCGGUAAUCCGUAGGGAGAGAGCGUUAUCCGGCAUUAUUGGGCGUAAGGGGUGCGUAGAUGGCAUAGUAAGGCUUUUGUAAAAAUGCUGGGCUCAACCCAGUAGGGCAAAAGAUACUGCAAAGCUAGAGUAUGACAGAGGCAAGCGGAAUUAGAGGUGUAGCGGUAAAAUGCGUAAAUAUAUGUAAGAACACCAGUGGCGAAGGCGGCUUGCUGGGUCGAUACUGACAUUGAGGCACGAAAGUGUGGGGAGCAAACAGGAUUAGAUACCCGUGUAGUC